This 352-nucleotide unclassified non-coding RNA is filed under the name soil metagenome. RNAcentral describes it as "partial contains 5.8S ribosomal RNA, internal transcribed spacer 2, and large subunit ribosomal RNA". The stretch from base 1 to 120 matches the Rfam family "5.8S ribosomal RNA", at positions 35 to 154 of the family's 154-position model. The record is from RNAcentral.
GAUGAAGAACGUAGCGAAAUGCGAUAAGUUAUGUGAAUUGCAGAAUUCAGUGAAUCAUCGAAUCUUUGAACGCACAUUGCGCCCGCCAGUAUUCUGGCGGGCAUGCCUGUUCGAGCGUCAUUACAACCCUCAGGCCCCCGGGCCUGGCGUUGGGGAUCGGCGGAGCCCCCCGUGGGCACACGCCGUCCCCCAAAUGCAGUGGCGGUCCCGCCGCAGCUUCCAUCGCGUAGUAGCUAACACCUCGCGACUGGAGAGCGGCGCGGCCACGCCGUAAAACACCCAACUCUUCUGAAGUUGACCUCGAAUCAGGUAGGAAUACCCGCUGAACUUAAGCAUAUCAAUAAGCGGAGGA